RNAcentral lists this ribosomal RNA (483 nucleotides) under uncultured bacterium. Its description in RNAcentral is "partial 16S ribosomal RNA". It matches the Rfam family "Bacterial small subunit ribosomal RNA", at positions 30 to 507 of the family's 1533-position model. The record is from RNAcentral.
AUUGAACGCUGGCGGCAGGCCUAACACAUGCAAGUCGAGCGGAUGAAGGGAGCUUGCUCCUGGAUUCAGCGGCGGACGGGUGAGUAAUGCCUAGGAAUCUGCCUGGUAGUGGGGGAUAACGUUCGGAAACGGGCGCUAAUACCGCAUACGUCCUGAGGGAGAAAGUGGGGGAUCUUCGGACCUCACGCUAUCAGAUGAGCCUAGGUCGGAUUAGCUAGUUGGUGGGGUAAGGCCUACCAAGGCGACGAUCCGUAACUGGUCUGAGAGGAUGAUCAGUCACACUGGAACUGAGACACGGUCCAGACUCCUACGGGGGGCAGGAGAGGGGAAUAUUGGACAUGGGGCGAAGGCCUGAUCCAGCCAUGCCGCGUAGGUGAAGAAGGUCUUCGGAUGGAAAAGUACUUUAAGUUGGGAGAAAGAGCGUUAGGUUAAUACGUUGCUGUUUUGACGGUACCAGCAGAAUAAGCACCGGCUAACUACGUG